Molecule: ribosomal RNA, 325 nt
Filed under: uncultured eukaryote
Lineage: Eukaryota
Description: partial 18S ribosomal RNA
Rfam family: Eukaryotic small subunit ribosomal RNA
Source: RNAcentral
CCCUUAGAUGUUCUGGGCCGCACGCGCGCUACACUGACUGCUCCAACAAGUUACCUGGGCUGACAAGCAUCCGGGAAAUCUUGCAAAGGCAGUCGUGAUGGGGAUAGAUUCUUGUAAUUUUUGAUCUUCAACGAGGAAUUCCUAGUAAACGCAAGUCAUCAGCUUGCAUUGAUUACGUCCCUGCCCUUUGUACACACCGCCCGUCGCAUCUACCGAUUGAAUGGAGAGGCAAAAUCUUCGGACCGUGACGCUUGGGAGUCAAAUCUCGGGCUGUCGUGGGAAGUGGAUUAAGCCUUUCUAUUUAGAGGAAGGUAAAGUCGUAACA